RNAcentral lists this ribosomal RNA (465 nucleotides) under Vreelandella stevensii. RNAcentral's name for it is "partial 16S ribosomal RNA". It matches the Rfam family "Bacterial small subunit ribosomal RNA", at positions 338 to 795 of the family's 1533-position model. Lineage: Bacteria; Pseudomonadati; Pseudomonadota; Gammaproteobacteria; Oceanospirillales; Halomonadaceae. The record is from RNAcentral.
CCUACGGGUGGCUGCAGUGGGGAAUAUUGGACAAUGGGGGGAACCCUGAUCCAGCCAUGCCGCGUGUGUGAAGAAGGCCCUCGGGUUGUAAAGCACUUUCAGUGAGGAAGAACGCCUGGUGGUUAAUACCCAUCAGGAAAGACAUCACUCACAGAAGAAGCACCGGCUAACUCCGUGCCAGCAGCCGCGGUAAUACGGAGGGUGCGAGCGUUAAUCGGAAUUACUGGGCGUAAAGCGCGCGUAGGUGGCUUGAUAAGCCGGUUGUGAAAGCCCCGGGCUCAACCUGGGAACAGCAUCCGGAACUGUCAAGCUAGAGUGCAGGAGAGGAAGGUAGAAUUCCCGGUGUAGCGGUGAAAUGCGUAGAGAUCGGGAGGAAUACCAGUGGCGAAGGCGGCCUUCUGGACUGACACUGACACUGAGGUGCGAAAGCGUGGGUAGCAAACAGGAUUAGAUACCCCGGUAGUC